Long non-coding RNA from Hippocampus zosterae (dwarf seahorse), 4763 nucleotides. RefSeq lists it as uncharacterized. NCBI's taxonomy places the organism in Eukaryota, Metazoa, Chordata, Actinopteri, Syngnathiformes, Syngnathidae. The transcript has 6 exons. The record is from RefSeq and is a predicted model, not a curated record.
UCCCCCUAAUUGCAAAGAUAGGAAUGACGAAGCGAAGUUAUUAAGCCAUUCAUCAAAACAGCCUGCCUUACCUUGGCGCCUUUGCUUCCAUCUGUUCCGGGCAAUCCAUCCAUUCCAUGAAGCCCCUCCAGACCCUCCCUUCCUGUAACGCCUCGUGGGCCAGGGGAGCCCUCUGGACCCUUGUCAAAAACAAUAAAUACAAUACAUCUUUAUUUUAUAAUACUUGAGGAAGUUACAGGGAAGUACGUAGAUACUGUACACAUUUUGAGCGCAAGUACUUUUGUGCCACGAGUGUUUCAGUUUCGCAGAGAUGACUACCGGUAGUCGUGCGGAUGGAUCGCCAAAAUGCUAGCUUCUGAUAGGCCAUGCUGUGCUUUUACAGCUUUUAUUUUGGUAGGUUUCUACUUCUUCCCCCUUCCCCCACAUUCUUUUUAUUUUGCUUGGACUAUGAUUUGGAUAAUCUGUGACCGGUUUAUGCAUUUGAGUACUGUACCGUCAAUGCGGUUUGACAAGAAAGAGAACCGAAUGCUACGUUAGCUUAUCACGCUAGCCACUGACUGGUUAGCGGCCAUGUUACUCACAGCACUCGUAUAUCACUAAAUAAAAACUUGGCUGUGAAUAGCCAUUCCCAAAUGUUUUUUUGACCUGGUUUCUAGAAUGAAACCACUGUUCAGAUGUUAACUGUCAGGAAAGCAAAAAUAUUGGCAUCAAAUUUACCGUUAUACUUGCUAUAACAGUGAUUUAAGAUAGAUCGACAGAUUAUUCUGUGGGUCUUGAUAAAUCAGUCAAAAGGUUCUAAAAUGGCUGGCAGUCAACAGUUGCGAGGAACUAAAAUGGCUGGCAUAGAUUGAGUGAUGUGCCUUAAGCCUACAACCAUUUAAAAAUGUUUUCCCACGUCAUGUCUGGGCCUCUGGAUAUUCCAUUUUAUAACCCCGUAAUAUUUAUUGCCCUUCCUCGAUUGUGAAGUUUGUGUUUGAAGAUUUCCAACAACUUCAAUCAUUGUCUUUACGGGUUACUAAAGGUCUUAUAUUCUUGCCAGUUAUCUCACCGGUGGUCCUUUGCUCCCAGAUGUUCCUCUCGGCCCAGAUUUUCCUUUCUGACCCUGGAUCAUAGAGAGUUAACGUUGUGUAACUCCAAUGCGAGUGCACGGUAGACUUUGAGAGUCGAGCGACACACAGCGCCUGCAGUCAUCUACAUUACACUGAGUUAAGUCCUUACUUGUUCACCUUUGGAUCCUUUCGGUCCUUGUUGCCCUCUGGGCCCCGGAUGUCCCUGAAAUGACCAUUAUGGUUUCAAAAAAAGGAACAUUGAAGCUUUGGUGUGGCUUUAAAUCACACCGAUGGCAUACUUACAGGAAGUCCUUGGGCACCGGCUUUACCUCUCUCUCCAUCAAGACCUACUGGACCCUGCAAAAUGUCAUACAUGACACUAUGCAGAGCUUAAAAUCGUUGGGCUUCAUAAGUGGUGGGGGGAAUGUAGUCAUCUUAAAUUCACUUACAUUGUGUCCGGGGUCACCUGAUUCUCCUCUAUCACCUCUGUUACCAGGAGGGCCCUGUCAUGGGGCACACAGAUACAAAAACAACCUCAAAUGUGGUUCAGUCAGAUCCCCUUCAGAGAACAUAAAAUAGAUGGCGACGUCCCUUACGCCUCCAAACAAACCAUCACAUAAUCACAGCGGGUCCGACACUAAAAUAUUCAUCGCUGCACACGGUCUUAAAAUCGCAGCCCCUCAUACAAGCCGUCUCUAACGCCGGGAUGGUGUGAAGCCAUCUGCUUGGCUCGCCUCUCUCACCAUAGGAACGUGUUCCCUUUCACACGCAGCCGUCGUGAGAUCAGCAGGAUCAGAACGAGCUGCUGCGCCUUCCCUUUAGCUCCUCUUUGAAAACGUCAAUCACACCGAUGCACAAUUUGGAGUCUUCUCUGAGUCUAACAUGCAUGUUAUGGGAAUGCGGGAUGAUGCCUUGAUACACAGAGGAAAGACUCCACGCCAAAGCUCAGAUUUGAACCCCCGACCUCCGACGGCGUUAAUACGGUUCACAUCUCAUGGCUAAAUCGCCGAGCAGCGGUAACCAAAGAAGAAAAACUCACUCUAUCACCUUGGCGACCUGGGGGUCCUUCUAUCUUGCUGUCCUCCCCUUGCGCACCCUAAAAAGUAACAGGGAAAUCAUCAAAAACAAAAAAAAAGGAAUUGAGAAUUCACCCCUUAGGUUAGCAUGGCAAAUGGCGUAAUCGUCGUGUCCACGUCACAGGACAGGUGCUUUCCAAAUGUUCGAAUGCACAAGGAUGAGUCAGUGUCUCGCUCUCUCUGGAACUCGUUGACACUAAUUGAACAAUAACAGACGCGGGAGGGAUUUUAUCCGUCGUGUUCUACAUUUAUCAAACAAAAGGAUUAAAAAAAUAACAAUGACAAAAUUGAGAAAAUAAUUAGGAAUGAUGAAAGACAGUGGCGAAAUGAGAAAUAAAAAGAGUGACCGGGACAAUCGUGUAAGUAUGUUUUGUAUCACAUCGGCUGCGCGUUUUGGUUGAGGGAGUCAAUCAAGUUCACAUGUGACCGCAUGAUUUUGAUUAAUCAACAAGCAUUGCUUUUAUUUCCUGACAACAAUACAACUGCACACAUCCAGAUGGCUCAAAGUGUUUUAAUCUGGUUUGUGUUGUGCCGCAUCCUGUCCGGUGUACAGAAAUGUUUGUAUUGCUUCAAUCGUGACUAAAAGUGUCCAUUUACUCGGCGGAUUGCACACUUGAACGCUAACAAGUGAAUUAGAUGCGCCCCACUUCCGACCAAUCGUCUCGAAGGGCUACCUUAAACGACAACCGUUGGGCGCUGUAAUGUGUAACGAGUGCGGAACGAAUCGUGUCCCAAUGUACCUUUUCACCUUUUGGUCCUGGUGGUCCUUGUGAGCCGUGUAGUCCUUUGUGACCCUACAACAAGAGGAGCACGCCGUUACUCGGACAAAAUAACACUUUACCACUCAUUAGUCAUCUGUUGUCAUGAUUUAAACAAGUUUAUAAAAAAUUAAAAAAAAAACCUUAGGGCAUAGGCCGGCCUCUUGAAAAGACCACUGAAAUGUCCAGUCUCACUGUAUUGGGAGUGUGGGGUCAGUCAAUUUCUGAUGUGAUCGACAUUUUGGUCACCAUGGCAAAGGAGAGAAGUGCUCACUGCCAAUGGAACAAAUUUCAACCAAAUUCAACGUAAGAAUGGAACAAAGUUCAAUCUGAUCAGAAAAGAUCUGAAUACCCAGUGACGUGUGAAAAGGAAAAAAAAAAACGUUUUUUGGUGGUAUGUUGAAAACUAUUUUACGGUCAAAUGGAUCAGGUAAUUCUAUAAGGUCACAGAUGGAAGGCCCGGAAUGAUUCAUCCCCCUAGAGUGUUGUGACUGUGACAUCCACAAAGCAGAACAAUGUAUCCUCAGUGGCUACCUGCAGUAAUAGAAAUCUAACAAAAUCCCACUCUGGGUGAUUGUUUUAUCACCUUACUGAAGAGGAUUUCCUUUUUAAUUUUUAUUUUUAAAAAAAUGCUAUUAUUCCACACCUCAUAGCCUGGAAUUCCCGGUUCUCCCAGCUGGCCCAUUCUUCCAGGAGCACCCUGGGGAAAUAAAUCCACAUUUAGUCCACGUUAAACCAAAAUCCAAUUAAGUCUGUCAGUUCAAAAGCGAGCGGAUGUUUUACCACUGGACCCAUUGUUCCUCUUGCUCCCUUCAGUCCGACAAAUCCUGGCGCUCCCUGCUCGCCCAUUGGCCCGCUUUCACCCAGGUGACCUUGGUGUCCUUUGGUGCCCUGGCGAGAGGCAGUCAAUAAGCAGAAUUGAAGAACGAAGCGAUUACAAGGAGCUGAUGUUAUUUUCCUCCCAAGAGUGAACAGCUAAUGCUUGCUAAUCCCUGGCUCACCAGACAGUCCUCCAUCUCCAGCCUUCCCCGACUCACCGAGGGUCCCAUCUCCCCCGUCGCCCCGCCCGUUCCUGGAGGCCCGGCUGCUCCCUACACACACACACAAAGGUAGGCCAUGAAUGUGAAGUUUUGACAGCCUAAAAAAAAAAUGACAGCGAAGGAGGGAAAUAAAUGUGUGAAAAUAAAUGAGAUGGCGUGUGUGGGCCGGAGGAGCCAAAUUAAAUCUGCAAUGGAAAGUGCUUUGAAAAUCACGCACCAGAGUCUUUGUAAGUGAUGGAGACGAGCCUGUUGCCGUGGCAACACUGUCAGGACGACAGUAAAACUGUCUCGGCAGGUAUAGGAUGUCGUGACUCAUUGUCUCACGACUUGUCUAAAUGGCGUCUGUGAGACUCAGGUGCAAGAACAAAAAAAUUGUGCUCGGCGUUUUCCUGUCGCAAUUCUUUACAGUUUGUUUCCACAGCAGGGGGGGGGGGGGGUGAUUUCACAGCUACGUGUUUGUUUAUAUAUCAUACACUCCAGGAUAGCAGCAAUAUAACCGGGCAAACUGUCAAAAGUUAAGUGAGUGUUAACAUACAGUUAGUGGGAAUUUCAACACUUGUGUGAGAGUUACAAAGUGACUCAUUCGCCUUUAAAUAAUAUAUGUGCGGUUCACAACGGUUUUAUGACAGCGAAAUAAAGACAGUGACCAAAUACCAUAAAUCAUAUUACGAAGACACAUGAUUCUUGGAACAAAGAAAUCUAAAGAAAAAAAAAAGGCUGACUGAUGACAGUUGAUGAAAAUAUGACUCACGGCAUCCCCAGCAAGUCCUUUGUCCCCUGGAGGGCCAGAGUGCCCUUGUAUCCCCUAAAAUAAGGCACCAUACUAUUAACUAAUUAAAA